Molecule: non-coding RNA, 122 nt
Filed under: uncultured Draconibacterium sp.
Lineage: Bacteria; Pseudomonadati; Bacteroidota; Bacteroidia; Marinilabiliales; Prolixibacteraceae
Description: FMN riboswitch (RFN element)
Rfam family: FMN riboswitch aptamer (RFN element)
About the family: The RFN element is a highly conserved domain that is found frequently in the 5'-untranslated regions of prokaryotic mRNAs that encode for flavin mononucleotide (FMN) biosynthesis and transport proteins. This element is a metabolite-dependent riboswitch that directly binds FMN in the absence of proteins. In Bacillus subtilis, the riboswitch most likely controls gene expression by causing premature transcription termination within the 5' untranslated region of the ribDEAHT operon and precluding access to the ribosome-binding site of ypaA mRNA.
Source: RNAcentral
UUUCUUCGGGGUAGGGUGAAAUUCCCAAUCGGCGGUAAAAAAGUCCGCAACUCCUUUAUUAAAAAAGGACUGAUUUUGGUGUAAUUCCAAAACCGACAGUUAAAGUCUGGAUGGAAGAAGAA